Molecule: transfer RNA, 74 nt
Filed under: bacterium
Lineage: Bacteria
Also listed under: 2 other names
Description: tRNA-Met
Rfam family: tRNA
About the family: Transfer RNA (tRNA) molecules are approximately 80 nucleotides in length. Their secondary structure includes four short double-helical elements and three loops (D, anti-codon, and T loops). Further hydrogen bonds mediate the characteristic L-shaped molecular structure. tRNAs have two regions of fundamental functional importance: the anti-codon, which is responsible for specific mRNA codon recognition, and the 3' end, to which the tRNAs corresponding amino acid is attached (by aminoacyl-tRNA synthetases). tRNAs cope with the degeneracy of the genetic code in two manners: having more than one tRNA (with a specific anti-codon) for a particular amino acid; and 'wobble' base-pairing, i.e. permitting non-standard base-pairing at the 3rd anti-codon position.
Source: RNAcentral
GGCGCCAUAGCUCAGUUGGUGAGAGCGCUCGACUCAUAAUCGAGAGGUCGACAGUUCAAAUCUGUCUGGCGCUA